RNAcentral lists this ribosomal RNA (1268 nucleotides) under Melanogrammus aeglefinus (haddock). RNAcentral describes it as "partial 16S ribosomal RNA". It matches the Rfam family "Bacterial large subunit ribosomal RNA", at positions 586 to 2550 of the family's 2925-position model. The record is from RNAcentral. Lineage: Eukaryota; Metazoa; Chordata; Actinopteri; Gadiformes; Gadidae.
CAGAGACCAGACCUCGUACCUUUUGCAUCAUGAUCUAGCCAGUAAACUCAAGCGAAGAGCCCUCUAGUUUGAACCCCCGAAACCGGACGAGCUACCCCGGGACAGCCUAUUGUAGGGCCAACCCGUCUCUGUGGCAAAAGAGUGGGAAGAUCCCCGGGUAGAGGUGAAAGACCUACCGAGUCAGGUUAUAGCUGGUUGCCCAGGAAACGAAUAGAAGUUCAGCCCCGUAUCAGCCCUUAUCCACAGCAGUUUUACUGAAGUUAGGCAGGAGGACAACCGCGGGAGUUAGUUGAAGGAGGUACAGCUCCCUCAACAAAGGACACAACCUUUACAGGAGGCUAAGAGAUAUACUAAAUUAAGGCCACAGGUUUCAGUGGGCCUAAAAGCAGCCACCUGAACAGAAAGCGUUAAAGCUCAGACCAGAUUAAGCCUAUUAUACCAUUAAAUAUCCUCAAUGCCCCUACUAAUACUGGGCCCCCCUAUGCUCACAUAGGAGAGACCAUGCUAGAACGAGUAAUAAGAAGAAUGAACUUCUCCCAGCACAUGUGUAAGUCGAAUCGGACCCCCCAUCGACAAUUAACGAACCCAAAAACAGAGGGCCAUGCAUCCGUGCCAUACUAGGCCAAGAAAAUCACGCAGACCCCAUCGUUGACCCCACACAGGAGUGCUCACACAAGGAAAGACUUAAAAAAUGAAAAGGAACUCGGCAAACCUGAACCCCGCCUGUUUACCAAAAACAUCGCCUCCUGCUCACAUCUGUUAUAGGAGGUCCCGCCUGCCCUGUGACCAAAAGUUUAACGGCCGCGGUAUUUUAACCGUGCAAAGGUAGCGCAAUCAAUUGUCUUUUAAAUGGAGACCUGUAUGAAUGGCAUAACGAGGGUUUAACUGUCUCUUUUUUUCGGUCAAUGAAACUGAUCUGCCCGUGCAGAAGCGGGCAUACCCACACAAGACGAGAAGACCCUAUGGAGCUUUAGACGCUCACCAACCACUAAAAGAGACCCGAUCUAACGGGCUUUCAAACAAUGUGGCCGUGGUACAAACGUCUUCGGUUGGGGCGACCGCGGAGGAGAGAAAAGCCUCCGAGAGGAUUGGGGGAGACCCUAAAACCAAGAGCCACAGCUCUAAGUCACAAAAUAUUUGACCGACAACGAUCCGGCUUCUUGCCGAUCAACGGACCAAGUUACCCUAGGGAUAACAGCGCAAUCCCCUCCCAGAGUCCAUAUCGACGAGGGGGUUUACGACCUCGAUGUUGGAUCAGGACAUCCUAA